UGGGGAAUAUUGGACAAUGGGCGCAAGCCUGAUCCAGCAAUGCCGCGUGUGUGAAGAAGGCCUUCGGGUUGUAAAGCACUUUUAUCAGGAGCGAAAUACUACUGGCUAAUAACCGGUGGGGCUGACGGUACCUGAGGAAUAAGCACCGGCUAACUUCGUGCCAGCAGCCGCGGUAAUACGAAGGGUGCAAGCGUUAAUCGGAAUUACUGGGCGUAAAGCGUGCGUAGGCGGUGAGUUAAGUCUGUUGUGAAAUCCCCGGGCUCAACCUGGGAAUGGCAAUGGAUACUGGCUCGCUAGAGUGUGAUAGAGGAUGGUGGAAUUCCCGGUGUAGCGGUGAAAUGCGUAGAGAUCGGGAGGAACAUCAGUGGCGAAGGCGGCCAUCUGGAUCAACACUGACGCUGAGGCACGAAAGCGUGGGGAGCAAACA
RNAcentral lists this ribosomal RNA (427 nucleotides) under uncultured Dyella sp. RNAcentral's name for it is "bacterial SSU rRNA". It matches the Rfam family "Bacterial small subunit ribosomal RNA", at positions 355 to 774 of the family's 1533-position model. Lineage: Bacteria; Pseudomonadati; Pseudomonadota; Gammaproteobacteria; Lysobacterales; Rhodanobacteraceae. The record is from RNAcentral.